Molecule: ribosomal RNA, 464 nt
Filed under: uncultured bacterium
Lineage: Bacteria
Description: bacterial SSU rRNA
Rfam family: Bacterial small subunit ribosomal RNA
Source: RNAcentral
GGGCCCGCACAAGCGGUGGAGCAUGUGGUUCAAUUCGACGCAACGCGAAGAACCUUACCCAGGCUUGAACAGCGAGUGACCAUUCCCGAAAGGGAACUUCCGCAAGGACACUCGUAGAGGUGCUGCAUGGCUGUCGUCAGCUCGUGUCGUGAGAUGUUGGGUUAAGUCCCGCAACGAGCGCAACCCUUGUUUGCUGUUGCCAUCAGGUUAUGCUGGGCACUCUGCAAAGACUGCCGGUGAUAAACCGGAGGAAGGUGGGGAUGACGUCAAGUCAGCAUGGCCUUUAUGUCUGGGGCUACACACGUGCUACAAUGGCCGGUACAAACCGUCGCAAAACCGCAAGGUGGAGCUAAUCGGAGAAAGCCGGUCUCAGUUCGGAUAGCAGGCUGCAACUCGCCUGCUUGAAGUUGGAAUCGCUAGUAAUCGCGGAUCAGCACGCCGCGGUGAAUACGUUCCCGGGCCUU